GACAAGGGGAAUCCGACUGUCUAAUUAAAACAAAACAUUGCGAUGGCCCUCAAGAGUGUUGACGCAAUGUGCUUUCUCAGUGCUCUGAAUAUCAACGUGAAGAAAUUCAAGCAAGCGCGGGUAAAUGGCGGGAGUAACUAUGACUCUCUUAAUUCCUUUUGGCUCUCGGGAUUUCUCGCUCUCCUGGAUCCUUGAUACCCUCUUUUUGGAGGAUUCUUUGGAUCCGGGGUCGGAGCGGGCUCGCCCAAAUAUAAAUAGUCACAGUAGGGACGAUGACGCGCAAUACAGACCUCCUAGCAGGUCAUUAAGCCUCUCUCGUUCAGUCACACGUCUACCUCCUGGACCCCUGCGGUUGCGCAGGGUGGCAAAAUAGUGUUAUAACAAUGUGCGCCCCUAAGGGCUUACAAAUGGUCAAAUGCCCCAUCAUCUAAUUAGUGACGCGCAUGAAUGAAUUAACGAGAUUCCC
This 466-nucleotide non-coding RNA is filed under the name Acromyrmex echinatior (Panamanian leafcutter ant). RNAcentral describes it as "Eukaryotic large subunit ribosomal RNA". It matches the Rfam family "Eukaryotic large subunit ribosomal RNA", at positions 2122 to 2337 of the family's 3401-position model. Lineage: Eukaryota; Metazoa; Arthropoda; Insecta; Hymenoptera; Formicidae. The record is from Rfam by way of RNAcentral.